UGAGGAAUCUUGGGCAAUGGGGGAAACCCUGACCCAGCCACGCCGCGUGGAGGAAGACACCCUUACGGGGCGUAAACUCCUUUUGUACGAGAAGAAGGUCCCGUUCGUCGGGAUUUGACGGUACCGCACGAAUAAGCACCGGCUAACUCCGUGCCAGCAGCCGCGGUAAUACGGAGGGUGCAAGCGUUGUCCGGAAUUAUUGGGCGUAAAGCGUCCGCAGGUGGUGAUUCAAGUCCGCUGUCAAAGACCGGGGCUCAACCCUGGGCCGGCAGUAGAAACUGAAGCACUAGAGUUCGGUAGGGGUAGAGGGAAUUCCCAGUGUAGCGGUGAAAUGCGUAGAGAUUGGGAAGAACACCAGUGGCGAAAGCGCUCUACUGGGCCGAGACUGACACUCAGGGACGAAAGCUAGGGGAGCGAAAGGGAUUAGAUACCCCGGUAGUCC
Molecule: ribosomal RNA, 442 nt
Filed under: uncultured prokaryote
Description: bacterial SSU rRNA
Rfam family: Bacterial small subunit ribosomal RNA
Source: RNAcentral